Molecule: ribosomal RNA, 860 nt
Filed under: uncultured bacterium
Lineage: Bacteria
Description: bacterial SSU rRNA
Rfam family: Bacterial small subunit ribosomal RNA
Source: RNAcentral
CAAGUCGAGGGGCAGCGGGGUGUAGCAAUACAUCGCCGGCGACCGGCGCACGGGUGCGUAACACGUAUGGAAUCUGCCCUUUACUGGGGGAUAGCCCGGAGAAAUCCGGAUUAAUACCCCAUAACAAUCGAGGUGGCAUCACCUUGAUUUGAAAGCUCCGGCGGUAAAGGAUGACCAUGCGCACGAUUAGCUAGUUGGUGAGGUAACGGCUCACCAAGGCUACGAUCGUUAGGGGGCCUGAGAGGGUUAUCCCCCACACUGGUACUGAGACACGGACCAGACUCCUACGGGAGGCAGCAGUGAGGAAUAUUGCGCAAUGGAGGCAACUCUGACGCAGCCAUGCCGCGUGCAGGAAGAAGGCGCUACGCGUUGUAAACUGCUUUUAACCGGGAAGAAACCCCAGGACGUGUCCUGGGUUGACGGUACCGGAGGAAUAAGCACCGGCUAACUUCGUGCCAGCAGCCGCGGUAAUACGAAGGGUGCAAGCGUUAUCCGGAUUCAUUGGGUUUAAAGGGUGCGUAGGCGGAGCGUUAAGUCAGUGGUGAAAUCCUGCAGCUUAACUGUAGACUUGCCAUUGAUACUGGCGCUCUUGAGUGCGCUUGAAGUAGGCGGAAUGUGUCGUGUAGCGGUGAAAUGCUUAGAUAUGACACAGAACACCGAUUGCGAAGGCAGCUUACUAAGGCGAUACUGACGCUGAGGCACGAAAGCGUGGGGAUCGAACAGGAUUAGAUACCCUGGUAGUCCACGCCGUAAACGAUGAUCACUCGUCAUUGGCGAUAUACGGUCAGUGACCUAGCGAAAGCGUUAAGUGAUCCACCUGGGGAGUACGAUCGCAAGAUUGAAACUCACGGAAUUGACGG